This 449-nucleotide ribosomal RNA is filed under the name uncultured bacterium. RNAcentral describes it as "bacterial SSU rRNA". It matches the Rfam family "Bacterial small subunit ribosomal RNA", at positions 328 to 794 of the family's 1533-position model. The record is from RNAcentral.
CGGCCAGACUCCUACGGGAGGCAGCAGUGGGGAAUAUUGCACAAUGGGGGGAACCCUGAUGCAGCGACGCCGCGUGAGUGAAGAAGUAUUUCGGUAUGUAAAGCUCUAUCAGCAGGGAAGAAAAUGACGGUACCUGACUAAGAAGCCCCGGCUAACUACGUGCCAGCAGCCGCGGUAAUACGUAGGGGGCAAGCGUUAUCCGGAUUUACUGGGUGUAAAGGGAGCGUAGACGGCGAUGCAAGUCAGAAGUGAAAGCCCGCGGCUCAACUGCGGGACUGCUUUUGAAACUGUAUAGCUUGAGUGCAGGAGAGGUAAGCGGAAUUCCUAGUGUAGCGGUGAAAUGCUUAGAUAUCAGGAGGAACAUCGGUGGCGUAAGCGCUUUACUGGGCCGUAAUUGACGCUGAGGAACGAAAGCCAGGGUAGCAAAUGGGAUUAGAUACCCCGGUAUA